Long non-coding RNA from Carcharodon carcharias (great white shark), 517 nucleotides. RefSeq lists it as uncharacterized. The record is from RefSeq and is a predicted model, not a curated record. Lineage: Eukaryota; Metazoa; Chordata; Chondrichthyes; Lamniformes; Lamnidae. The transcript is spliced from 3 exons.
CAGAGGUUGUUUCUUUCAUGGCAGAGUUCAACCCAGAUGAGUUCCUGGUUGGAGACAACAACAUGAAAAUCAUUGAACUGACUGACAAUGCUGCAUGAUGAGGGAUUUCUGUGCUUAUCCCUCUUGGAAGAAGCGGUUCUAUACUUAACAAUACUCUUCCUCCAGUUAUCCCACUUCUGAACUGGUCACAAGCCUUCAGAACUUUGAAAGGGUUUCUUCUGUGAGUGGCACCCACAAUUCUAUGAGUUUUUCAGGUUAUGUACAUCUCAACAACUCUACACGAGGUUGGACUUUGACUUCCCUCCAGAUCUCUGUUACUUAGUCAUGUGACAUUGCAUCAUAGUUACAUCAAUAUCAGAUGCUUCUGAUGUUAACUCUUUACCAUUUCUGAUGUUGAUGUUACACCGCCACUACUUCCUGGUUUCAGGAGCCUUCUUUAUUAUGAUUUUCAACUUUGAUGAUGCCUGAUUUCUCAAGUCAAAAGGCGCAUAUGAAUACUUCCAAAAUUUAAAGUAAA